UCUGAUUGUUUUCUUCUUCCAACAACAAUGGUUAUUUCUUAUUUGCUUCUUCUUUUCUAUGUUGUUGCUACGUUUGUACGGGAAGCCUUGCAUGCAGGUAACUUUUUUCACUUUACAUUUCCAUUGAAAUUUUGAGAUUUUAACCUAAUUUUUGAAAUUUGAGUUUGAAAAAUUCUAAUAGCGAAAGGCUUGAAACUCACAAAUGAAUAGUGAUAACUGAGACAGAAACCGACAUAGUCUCUGGUAUUAUAUCUUGUCGAUUUUUAGUUUUUUUCCUAUAUAGCUUCCUCUUUGAUCUGUCUUUGUUUCUCUAUUUGAUUCAAUAAAACACUCGAUUACCUCUAAUGUUGUUUGUCCUGUUGCUUCUUACCAUAUUUGUUUCUCUUUGGUGCAGUUUGUUUGUUAUAUCUCUGUUGUAUUUUUCAAUUCAGGAGAUAUUUUGAUCACAGGCCAACUAUCCGCCCAAAUGCGAAGAAGCUUAAUAAUUUACUCCUUCAUCGAAAUAACAUGACAUGAGAAGAGUUUGCCUCACAAAUUUGAACGUCUAGGUUUCAUAGGCGAGCCAAUGGAGGUAAAGCCAGGCAGGGGAGAGUUCCAUGAAAACCCAACAACAUGCAUUUGUGCACAUUCUGAAAUGGAUAUCGGUGCUACUACUAUUAGUGCUAGGAGAUAUAUAUGUGAAGUAAUUGAUGGUCAGGUAGGUGAAGAAGAUCAAGAAUGGUAUGAUGCAGAAUAUACAAAGAAUGCACUUGAAAUUCAAUGAAGAGGGCUUCAGAAAGACAUGAUGCAAAUUCUGGAAGAUUUAUAAAACAAAACAGUCAGAAAUAGAAGAAGAUUUUCUUAGAUUAAAGAGAAGCUGCAGCAUAUGGAGCAUGUCCUCAUUCUGAGUACUAGCUUCAAUUCAUUUGAUAACAAGAUAACGGUAAGUCAAAGAUAUAAGCCAACGGUCCAGGUAGAAGAGAAAACUUUAUAAGCCGCUUACUCAGAACUUGUGCUUUUCUAUCCAUACCGCUUCAAUGCUGCAUUUGUCUAUUUCAAUUUGUAUAAUUAUAACAUUUUUUUGGUACUUACGGGGAUGCAUAUAUCUAUAUUUUCUCGGUUAAUUUUAUAACACCUAAUGACUUUGAAAACAACUCGAAGGUUGUGUCAACAAAAAUUUCAACGUCAGUAAUGCACUUAUAUUCUGUCAAUUAUUUUUGUUACCUUUCAGCUUAAUUACGUUCUAUAUUGGAGUUGACAGAAAGUAGUAAUCUUAUUGUCUUUUAUCUAAUACUAAUCAGCAGCAAACAAUUUAUUCUAAUUUUGAUGAUUUAACUGAAAAUAAGAAACAGUUGGAAUUGGAUUAGAGGCGACGAGAUUUAUGAAAAUCAUGAUGAGGAAGAUGAAGAGUAGAUCAUUAGACGACAUUUUUGAAUUUCUGGAAGUCUUUUUCCUGCUACAAAGAAUGUAUAUGCUUGGGAGUGCACAUUUAAAGAGUGUGUAAAUGAUUAAGAAGAGACAAUAUCAGUGCUACUUUGGUUGUUCUAUUGGCAACAGUAACCACAUAUUAUUUACACACAUUCUAAGCAUGGGCUAUCCAAAGACAUCAAACAUCCUUCAAAGAAUCAUAUUUGAUGGCGCAUAUGUUGGCCAAUGUUCUCACGCUGCUGUUGCAUACAUGCAGUCACGGAUAAGGGGUAUGAUUCUACGCAAUGCAGUGGAGUGAAAGGUGGUAUAAUAGAGCCAACUAAGCAUAUUGGAAAGGAUAAUAAUAAGAAGAAAAGCAGGUUUGGAUUUAGAGCCUCUACUUUCUUACCGUCUUGCUGUUGCUUAUGUUUUCUUAAAUCUUGUGUUUUUGUUCUCCUUGAGCUGAGGGUCUUUCAAAAACAACUUCUCUACUUGGCAAGAUAGCAGUAACUGAGUUGUAUGUGGUCAUGAAAAUGCAACAACAAAGCACGCAGAUGAUGAAGGUAUGUCUUACAAAAUAAAUCAUUUAGUGAUGAUAAAUUUGGAUAGGGCCAAUAUAUACACAUCAAAAGUGCACCACUUGCAAAGAACAUACAAGCUUUCUGGAAAAAGAGUGGGAAGUGAGUCGAGAAGCUUUGAAGGACAAUAGAAAAUUUAUGUGAAAAGGACUGAAGAAGAGCAGUUUAACCAUUUGCCAUAUAUGACUUCUGCUUGCUUCAAUCAUACCGAAAAGUUUAGCUUUACAUUUUUCAUGUACUACUUUAUUCUUUUUCUACUCUUUAUUGAUAUUUUUCAUUGCUGAAUGACUAUAAAAUGUUGAGUCCGUGCUA
Molecule: long non-coding RNA, 2276 nt
Organism: Solanum tuberosum (potato)
Lineage: Eukaryota; Viridiplantae; Streptophyta; Magnoliopsida; Solanales; Solanaceae
Exons: 7
Source: RefSeq, a predicted model, not a curated record